CCCUUAGAUGUUCUGGGCGGCCCGCGCACUACAUUGGCACUAGCAAAGAGAUCCUAGAUUGAAUUCUUUGGGGUAUUCUUCUAAAUGGUGUCGUGACUGGGAUAAAUCCUUGUAAUUAUUGGUUUUGAGCGAGGAAUUCCUUGUAAUCGCGGUUUAUCAGCUCGCGUUGAAUGCGUCCCUGCCCUUUGUACACACCGCCCGUCGCUCCUACCGAUGGAUCGUCCGGUGAAGCUCACGGAGUGACUGUUCACGCAACGGUUUACGAAGUGAAAUGGACCUCACGAUUUAGAGGAAGGAGAAGUCGUAACA
RNAcentral lists this ribosomal RNA (309 nucleotides) under uncultured eukaryote. Its description in RNAcentral is "partial 18S ribosomal RNA". It matches the Rfam family "Eukaryotic small subunit ribosomal RNA", at positions 1470 to 1796 of the family's 1831-position model. The record is from RNAcentral.